This 74-nucleotide transfer RNA is filed under the name Maioricimonas rarisocia. Its description in RNAcentral is "Planctomycetes bacterium Mal4 tRNA-Ala". It matches the Rfam family "tRNA". From Rfam's summary of the family: Transfer RNA (tRNA) molecules are approximately 80 nucleotides in length. Their secondary structure includes four short double-helical elements and three loops (D, anti-codon, and T loops). Further hydrogen bonds mediate the characteristic L-shaped molecular structure. tRNAs have two regions of fundamental functional importance: the anti-codon, which is responsible for specific mRNA codon recognition, and the 3' end, to which the tRNAs corresponding amino acid is attached (by aminoacyl-tRNA synthetases). tRNAs cope with the degeneracy of the genetic code in two manners: having more than one tRNA (with a specific anti-codon) for a particular amino acid; and 'wobble' base-pairing, i.e. permitting non-standard base-pairing at the 3rd anti-codon position. The record is from RNAcentral. Lineage: Bacteria; Pseudomonadati; Planctomycetota; Planctomycetia; Planctomycetales; Planctomycetaceae.
GGGGCCGUAGCUCAGUUGGGAGAGCGCAGCGUUCGCAAUGCUGAGGUCGUGGGUUCGAAUCCCAUCGGCUCCAC